Molecule: ribosomal RNA, 480 nt
Filed under: uncultured bacterium
Lineage: Bacteria
Description: partial 16S ribosomal RNA
Rfam family: Bacterial small subunit ribosomal RNA
Source: RNAcentral
GACGAACGCUGGCGGCGUGCCUAACACAUGCAAGUCGAGCGAGUGGAUCUCCUUCGGGAGUGAAGCUAGCGGCGGACAGGUGAGUAACACGUGGGCAACCUGCCUCAUAGAGGGGAAUAGCCUUUCGAAAGGAAGAUUAAUACCGCAUAAGAUUGUAGCUUCGCAUGAAGUAGCAAUUAAAGGAGCAAUCCGCUAUGAGAUGGGCCCGCGGCGCAUUAGCUAGUUGGUGAGGUAACGGCUCACCAAGGCGACGAUGCGUAGCCGACCUGAGAGGGUGAUCGGCCACAUUGGGACUGAGACACGGCCCAGACUCCUACGGGAGGCAGCAGUGGGGAAUAUUGCACAAUGGGGGAAACCCUGAUGCAGCAACGCCGCGUGAGUGAUGACGGCCUUCGGGGUGUAAAGCUCUGUCUUCAGGGACGAUAAUGACGGUACCUGAGGAGGAAGCCACGGCUAACUACGUGCCAGCCGCCGCCGUAA